RNAcentral lists this ribosomal RNA (492 nucleotides) under uncultured bacterium. RNAcentral's name for it is "partial 16S ribosomal RNA". It matches the Rfam family "Bacterial small subunit ribosomal RNA", at positions 29 to 507 of the family's 1533-position model. The record is from RNAcentral.
AGUGAACGCUGGCGGUAGGCCUAACACAUGCAAGUCGAACGGCAGCACAGUAAGAGCUUGCUCUUACGGGUGGCGAGUGGCGGACGGGUGAGGAAUACAUCGGAAUCUACUUUUUCGUGGGGGAUAACGUAGUGAAACUUACGCUAAUACCGCAUACGACCUACGGGUGAAAGCAGGGGAUCUUCGGACCUUGCGCGAUUGAAUGAGCCGAUGUCGGAUUAGCUAGUUGUCGGGGUAAAGGCCCACCAAGGCGACGAUCCGUAGCUGGUCUGAGAGGAUGAUCAGACACACUGGAACUGAGACACGGUCCAGACUCCUACGGGAGGCAGCAGUGGGGAAUAUUGGACAAUGGGCGCAAGCCUGAUACAGCCAUACCGCGUGGGUGAAGAAGGCCUUCGGGUUGUAAAGCCCUUUUGUUGGGAAAGAAAAGCAGCAGGUUAAUACCCCGAUGUUCUGACGGUACCCAAAGAAUAAGCACCGGCUAACUUCGUG